CAUGCCUUGCAUUGCAUUAAAGAAUUAAUCUCCCUCAUGAUAUUGUAAUGGGUUUGAAGAACUAAGGUAUGGAGGUCCCCCAUGAACUCCCAAUCGCACCACACUUUGCACCACAUCACUUGUUAUAGCCACCUCUUUGAUUCACCACGCCCUGCACUGCAUUAAAGAAUUAAUCUCCCUCAUGACAUUGCGAUGGGUUUGAAGAACUAAGGAGUGGAGGUCCCCCGUGAACUUCCGAUCGCACCACACUUUGCACCACAUCACUUGUUAUAGCCAGCUCUUUGAUUCACCACACCCUGCACUGCAUUAAAGAAUUAAUCUCCCUCAUGACAAUGCGAUGGGUUUGAAGAACUAAGGAGUGGAGGUCCCCCGU
Erpetoichthys calabaricus (reedfish) is the source of this 373-nucleotide long non-coding RNA. RefSeq lists it as uncharacterized. The transcript has 3 exons. Lineage: Eukaryota; Metazoa; Chordata; Cladistia; Polypteriformes; Polypteridae. The record is from RefSeq and is a predicted model, not a curated record.